This 272-nucleotide ribosomal RNA is filed under the name uncultured bacterium. RNAcentral's name for it is "partial 16S ribosomal RNA". It matches the Rfam family "Bacterial small subunit ribosomal RNA", at positions 335 to 604 of the family's 1533-position model. The record is from RNAcentral.
AAUCCUACGGGACGCAGCAGUGAGGAAUAUUGGUCAAUGGGCGAGAGCCUGAACCAGCCAAGUCGCGUGAGGGAUGACUGCCCUAUGGGUUGUAAACCUCUUUUGUAUGGGGGGAAUAAGCUUUACGAGUAGAGUGAUGACAGUACCAUACGAAUAAGCAUCGGCUAAAUCCGUGCCAGCAGCCGCGGUAAUACGGAGGAUGCGAGCGAUAUCCGGAGUUAUUGGGUUUAAAGGGUGCGUAGGCGGCAUUAUAAGUUAGUGGUAGAAUAUUG